UUGUUGUGGAGAAAUAAAGUGAAUAUGAGUAUCAAUUCCGCCAGCUGUUAGAAUUUUGUUUUCACCAGCUAGAAUCUCUGUGGCAGCACCAAUAGGGAUAUCGAUGUUAUCCAUAAUUAGCGGAUUGCCAGCUUUCCCAAUGGCUAAAAUUUUACCAUCCUUAAUGGCCACAUCUGCUUUAAUUAUUCCACUAUAAUCGACAAUCGUCGCAUUGGUGAUAACUAAAUCAGGUGCUCCGCCAUCACGAGUAACUAACGGAUCCAUCCC
Enterococcus pallens ATCC BAA-351 is the source of this 267-nucleotide small RNA. It matches the Rfam family "5' ureB small RNA". NCBI's taxonomy places the organism in Bacteria, Bacillati, Bacillota, Bacilli, Lactobacillales, Enterococcaceae. The record is from Rfam.